GAUGAACGCUGGCGGCGUGCCUAAUACAUGCAAGUCGAGCGAACAGACGAGGAGCUUGCUCCUCUGACGUUAGCGGCGGACGGGUGAGUAACACGUGGAUAACCUACCUAUAAGACUGGGAUAACUUCGGGAAACCGGAGCUAAUACCGGAUAAUAUAUUGAACCGCAUGGUUCAAUAGUGAAAGACGGUUUUGCUGUCACUUAUAGAUGGAUCCGCGCCGCAUUAGCUAGUUGGUAAGGUAACGGCUUACCAAGGCAACGAUGCGUAGCCGACCUGAGAGGGUAACGGCCCACACGAGAAUGAAAACAGGGCCCGCCCUCCGCGGGGAGGCAGAAGGGGGGAUUCGUCGAGAUGGGGCGAAGGCGGGAGGGCGCAGCCCGGCGGGGGUAAGAAAGUUUUUGGGAUGUAAAAACGUUUUUAUGGGGAAAAAAAAAUUGGGAAAGAAAUUAGGCGCUUUUGGAGGGUACUAAAUAAAAAGGCCAGGGCAAACUACGCC
This 497-nucleotide ribosomal RNA is filed under the name uncultured bacterium. Its description in RNAcentral is "partial 16S ribosomal RNA". It matches the Rfam family "Bacterial small subunit ribosomal RNA", at positions 28 to 507 of the family's 1533-position model. The record is from RNAcentral.